GGGUCAGUAGGUUGGUCGUGCCACUGGUACGUACUGGUCUCACUGAUUCCUCCUUCCUGAAGAACCGUAAUGCCAUUAAUUUGGUGCUGCGGGGAAACAGGACUGUUACUUUGAAAAAAUUAGAGUGUUUAAAGCAAGCUAACGCUUGAAUACAUUAGCAUGGAAUAAUGAAAUAGGUCGAUCGAUCCUAUUUUGUUGGUUUCUAGGAUUGACGUA
Molecule: ribosomal RNA, 216 nt
Filed under: Glomeromycotina sp.
Lineage: Eukaryota; Fungi; Glomeromycota
Description: partial small subunit ribosomal RNA
Rfam family: Eukaryotic small subunit ribosomal RNA (bases 40-216)
Source: RNAcentral